RNAcentral lists this ribosomal RNA (432 nucleotides) under uncultured bacterium. RNAcentral describes it as "partial 16S ribosomal RNA". It matches the Rfam family "Bacterial small subunit ribosomal RNA", at positions 28 to 507 of the family's 1533-position model. The record is from RNAcentral.
AACGAACGCUGGCGGCAUGCCUAACACAUGCAAGUCGAACGAGACCUUCGGGUCUAGUGGCGCACGGGUGCGUAACGCGUGGGAACCUGCCCUUAGGUUCGGAAUAACUCCCCGAAAGGGGUGCUAAUACCGGAUAAUGUCUUCGGACCAAAGAUUUAUCGCCUUUGGAUGGGCCCGCGUUGGAUUAGCUAGUUGGUAGGGUAAAAGCCUACCAAGGCGACGAUCCAUAGCUGGUCUGAGAGGAUGAACAGCCACACUGGGACUGGGACACGGCCCAGACGGCUGGGGGCGGGAGGAGAGGGGAAAAUUGGGCCGGGGGCCAGAGCCUGCCCCGGCGCGGGCGGGGUAGUGGUGAAGGGCCUGGGGUUGUAAAGCUCUUUUGCCGGGGAGUGAAAGACAGGAACGGGGAAAGAAGGCCCGGGCAAACUCGGG